UCUGACGGAGCUCGCCGCGUGAGUGAUGAAGGUUUUCGGAUCGUAUAGCUCUGUUGUUAGUCAAGAACAAGUGCAAGAGUAACUGCUCUGCCUCCACGGUGCCUAACCAGAAAGCCACGGCUAACUACGUGCCAGCAGCCGCGGUAAUACGUAGGUGGCAAGCGUUGUCCGGAAUUAUUGGGCGUAAAGGGCUCGCAGGCGGUUUCUUAAGUCUGAUGUGAAAGCCCCCGGCUCAACCGGGGAGGGUCAUUGGAAACUGGGAAACUUGAGUGCAGAAGAGGAGAGUGGAAUUCCACGUGUAGCGGUGAAAUGCGUAGAGAUGUGGAGGAACACCAGUGGCGAAGGCGACUCUCUGGUCUGUAACUGACGCUGAGGAGCGAAAGCGUGGGGAGCGAACAGGAUUAGAUACCCUGGUAGUCCACGCCGUAAACGAUGAGUGCUAAGUGUUAGGGGGUUUCCGCCCCUUAGUGCUGCAGCUAACGCAUUAAGCACUCCGCCUGGGGAGUACGGUCGCAAGACUGAAACUCAAAGGAAUUUUGACGGA
RNAcentral lists this ribosomal RNA (544 nucleotides) under Bacillus stratosphericus. RNAcentral's name for it is "bacterial SSU rRNA". It matches the Rfam family "Bacterial small subunit ribosomal RNA", at positions 382 to 917 of the family's 1533-position model. Lineage: Bacteria; Bacillati; Bacillota; Bacilli; Caryophanales; Bacillaceae. The record is from RNAcentral.